AUAAGGAAGAACUUCUGCCUAAGAGCUCAUCUCGAUCUCCCUUCUGGCAGGUUAAAGCCAUCCCAAGACUGUAAAAGUUUAAAUGUAUCCAUCUACCCUGAAGGGGAAAAGCCAAAGAUAAGUAAGACCUUAGAGGAGCUGCAACCACUAUGCACCAGACAGCACAUUGCUCCACGUAGGCAGGUGAUGCAAAGGACAAAAGCAUGAUUCAAGAAGAAAACUUUCAUGAAGGAUGAGGAUGUAACUUAAGCUGCUGCAAGAGAAAGCUUCCUGUAUCAUUUCCUACAGAAGAGAAAAAGGUGGUUAAUGAGUGUGUUGUGUGGUACGAGGCCACAUGUGUGUGUACAUGCUGGGCCCCAGCUAUGGGAUGUGAAGGACACAGAAGGCAAGGUUGAGUUUCCAAGGGGUUCCAAGCCCCUGACCUGCACACUCCAACAUCCAGGAGGGGAAAAUCCCAACAUCCCAACAGCAAAACCUGUACGGACAACGGCACGUGAAGCAAACACCAGAGAACAGGUUUACAUCCUUACACGUAAAUACAAGGCAGCUUCCUGUUGUUGUGUUCCUCUGGAGAGGGUAACAGUUAUAUUCAACUGGAACUACCUGCAAAACACAAAAAGUAUGGUAAGAAUGCUGAGAGGUGUAGGGUAACAUUUUCCAAAGAACUUUAAAUAAUUUCAUGAAAAUUCAGUGCUUAGGAUCCCAAAUAAAGCAGGAGCCUCUAAGAAUAUUAUUCAUAGAAUUCAAGAGCUGUAUUUAAGCUCAGGCCUUUCUCCUUGCCCAAAGCCCACCCUGAAUAUGCCUGUGCCAUGCAUUUUGCCCAUCCUGACUCAACUUUCAGUCUCAGAGGGCCGGGAGGUGUCCAUCCCCAGCUGAUGGAUGCAUACCUGGCCUAAAACAGGGGUCAACUCCCAUUAUCUGCCCAUUUCUUGUUCCUUCCCUGUGUACCCCCUGUCAGUUCCCAAGCUUGUUUUUAGCAAGUGCCAAAGAUAAGAGGAGAACAUCAAACAGCAGUCUUCCUCUGAGAAAGACAAACACACAGUUUUCAUGUUCUCAAGCACAGUUUUUACUAAUGCUUCCUGGUAAUGCUGGUAACUGCCAUCGUAGUUAGGAAUUAGGUGGCUCUUAGGAAGAGGUAUCUAUUUGGCAGAUUCAGUGAGCUCUGUGCUGUGUUCCUUCCUUUGGAUGGAAUUAAUCAGGCUCUGUGCUGAGAUUCAAUUAGAGACAGUAAGUGAAUUUCCUUGCUCUGUUUUGAAUCAGAGCAUCUCUCCAUUUUUGUCCUUGCUUGCUUUGAAACAAGAUGAUGCUGGUGGUGAGGGUGUAUGGGGAAAACUCGGAGCACCUUUUCCUAAAGAGCUGACCAACUCUGAGCACAAAUCCCUCUGUAAGCAACGGCUUAUUUCCAGGUUAUGAACUUCUUCCUUUUAAAGAAUAUAAAUCAGGCUUGUAUUUUAACUAACUCAACAAAUGAAAUCACUAACAAGAGAGCAAACAGACUGUUAACAGAUUGCUUUGGCUUGGAAACAUCUCCGCAACUAUUU
RNAcentral lists this long non-coding RNA (1541 nucleotides) under Amazona collaria (yellow-billed parrot). RNAcentral's name for it is "lncRNA (ENSACOG00000010312.1)". Lineage: Eukaryota; Metazoa; Chordata; Aves; Psittaciformes; Psittacidae. The record is from RNAcentral.